Molecule: long non-coding RNA, 2144 nt
Organism: Dermacentor silvarum
Lineage: Eukaryota; Metazoa; Arthropoda; Arachnida; Ixodida; Ixodidae
Exons: 2
Source: RefSeq, a predicted model, not a curated record
CAAGGGCGCGAUCUUGUAAGCGUUCCAAAAUGGAACGGAGGCGUUCCGUUCCAUCGAGCCGCACACGAUUGGUCAAUUUGAACCAUGACGAACGCCAUGACGUCAAUUGUGACGUGAACCGUGACGUCUUGCUGCUGUCAAUCAUUCCGUGUCGUCUGCUAACGGACGAACGCAACGGAACGGUUGCCGAGUCCGUCCGUUUCGAUAGAACGGAUUAGAACGGCUACCAGACGACUUGGAUUGGAUUAAAACGUAAGCGCUUGGGACAGUUAGCCUCUUUCGUAUCCGGUUCAAUCCAAAUCGGGAAUCCCAACAGUUGGAGAAAAUGGCGUUUUCUUUCUCUGCCGUGUCUUUUCGUGUCGCCUGUGCGGCUGCUGCAGUCGCGCAGAGACGAUGACCCGAGGUAGAUGAUGCAUUUAAAGAGUUGACGGAGGAAGAGUUCCGGCAAUAUUUUCGUCUGUCCAAACGAACAGUGCGUCGCUUGUGCGACGAGCUUGACUCCAUCAUUGGAUGCCAGCGAGCCAGUGGCCUUUCCACAGAAAGGAAGGUGUUGUGCGCGCUGCGAUUUUUCGGCACUGGAAGCUUCCGGAGGAGCGUUGGUCGCGAGGAGUAAAUAGGCAUGGCGCAGCCGGCCGCGAGCAACACCAUCCAGGAGGUGAUGGAGGCCAUCAUUUCCGUGUCUGCCCGGAGAAAGUUGGUGGACUUUUCAUUGACACCGGCUGCCAAGGAUGAGGCAAAGGCGGCGUUUGCGCGACGCGGUGCCAUUCCAGGCGUGCUAGCGUGCGUCGACGGCACGUUGAUCGCCGUUAUGAAGCCAGAGGGACUCAGCCCGGCCGACACGGCGAGCUUCAUGUCGAGGAAGGGUUAUUACGCCCUCAACGUCAUAGUCGUAAGUACCGUUGGAAUGUUUUAUUUCAAACUGUAGUCGCCAUUUUUACUCGCCCAUAGUAGCAAUUGUUCAGUUUAAUGCCCAAGCUGGCAUAACUAGUAAUGUAACGAUUAAAAGAGGACAUGCGGGGAACUGUGUACGAGCUCGUUGAAGUCUGACAUGUCAGCGGUAAUGAUGAGUGCCAUGUGUUUCUGUGCAUGAGCCGUUUGCCGUACCAAAAUUGUGUUUUCGUUCUGGCGUGCAUACACAAUGGAGUUGUGCAUUUUGGAGGUAUUUAGGAACAUGGGCAGCAGUCGUAGCAAAAAUCGAUACACUAUAGGGAAGAUACGAUGGAAGCAUUUUGAACAGGGAAGUACUUACAACCAUUGCAUGGGCUGGAUUUGGCGUGUAUGGGUGUUCUUGCGCAAUUUCGUGCCCCAAGUUUUCAUUUAGCGAUCACUUAGUGCAAACCAUAGGCGUGCGCACAAAGGGCCCCAAAUGCGAAACCCUGUGCACGCCUAUGAGUGAAACAGUGUAGCUGCUUAUACCAGCGUAAAUGUAUGUAUUGUUUUCUGCAUAUGAAUGGCAAAAAGGGAUUUUGAGCAUAUCUGCAGCGCUAUUUUGUAUUGCUCCUCAUUGCAGGUGUGCAACUCGGAACUUUGCAUCCUUGUUGUGGACCUCCGGCUCCCUGAUUCGGGCCACGACUCUUGGAUGUGGCAGCAUAAUGCACUGUGUACGCGCCUCGCCGCACAACUGCAGCCUGGCGAGUCUCUGCUUGGUGGCCAGCUACGACUAGUGCCAGGGAGCGCACCUUCUCCAGUAUGCCCUCCUGAGCCGCUGCCGUCCUCUCUGCCGCGAUGGCGAGCCGGGUGGUGGAUUGUUCGAUCCUUCGCAGCACCUGAAAUGAAUAAUUGUGGUGGAAUUGUUCAUAUGAGUUGCUGAUUACUCGCAACCAGCUCAUCGCUGGAAGCUGUUGUUGUCAAGAAUUGCAACGUGCACAACAAUUGCCCACCUCCCUCGCUGUAGCCACUGUAGUGUCUAUCCUCCUAACACAUCACAUAUCCUAUGGCAAUGCCAUCCAAAACUACCCCCCUUACCCAAACCUUCAUCCCUCCCAUCUACCCCUUCCUCCGAGUGGCUGACCGCCGCAACCACCCUUCACGACCAACGAUUCCUUGGGGACUUCAUCGGCCUAGCGCUGAAGCAUGCCGCAAGCGACGCCCUGGACUCAGGGCACUGAUGCAUUUUUUAUCGCAGAAUAAAAAAAAGUGAUUUC